This 76-nucleotide transfer RNA is filed under the name Stegodyphus mimosarum. It matches the Rfam family "tRNA". Rfam says of the family: Transfer RNA (tRNA) molecules are approximately 80 nucleotides in length. Their secondary structure includes four short double-helical elements and three loops (D, anti-codon, and T loops). Lineage: Eukaryota; Metazoa; Arthropoda; Arachnida; Araneae; Eresidae. The record is from Rfam by way of RNAcentral.
GCCUUCGUGGUGUAGUGGUCAGCACACUGAGCCGGUAUAAUUUCAGAGGUCCGUGGUUCGAUUCCCGGCGAAGGAA